RNAcentral lists this ribosomal RNA (379 nucleotides) under uncultured bacterium. Its description in RNAcentral is "bacterial SSU rRNA". It matches the Rfam family "Bacterial small subunit ribosomal RNA", at positions 30 to 406 of the family's 1533-position model. The record is from RNAcentral.
AUUGAACGCUGGCGGCAUGCCUUACACAUGCAAGUCGAACGGCAGCACGGGAGCUUGCUCCUGGUGGCGAGUGGCGAACGGGUGAGUAAUACAUCGGAACGUACCCUGAAGUGGGGGAUAACGUAGCAAAAGUUACGCUAAUACCGCAUAUUCUGUGAGCAGGAAAGAGGGGGGAUCGCAAGACCUCUUGCUUUAGGAGCGGCCGAUGUCGGAUUAGCUAGUUGGUGAGGUAAAGGCUCACCAAGGCGACGAUCCGUAGCGGGUCUGAGAGGAUGAUCCGCCACACUGGGACUGAGACACGGCCCAGACUCCUACGGGAGGCAGCAGUGGGGAAUUUUGGACAAUGGGCGCAAGCCUGAUCCAGCCAUGCCGCGUGAGU